Gossypium hirsutum (cotton) is the source of this 107-nucleotide non-coding RNA. The record is from Rfam. Lineage: Eukaryota; Viridiplantae; Streptophyta; Magnoliopsida; Malvales; Malvaceae.
AUUCCGUGAUGAAGGCAUUUUCGUAAUAAUUCUUUAUACCUAUCCCAUGCUUCAUACAAGGACUCAUCAUUCAUUUGUUAGAAAGCGGUGAUCUUGUUCCUCAACUU